CCUACGGGUGGCAGCAGUGGGGAAUAUUGGACAAUGGGCGAAAGCCUGAUCCAGCCAUGCCGCGUGUGUGAAGAAGGCCUUCGGGUUGUAAAGCACUUUCAGUGGGGAAGAAAGCCUUGGGGCUAAUACCCUCGAGGAAGGACAUCACCCACAGAAGAAGCACCGGCUAACUCCGUGCCAGCAGCCGCGGUAAUACGGAGGGUGCGAGCGUUAAUCGGAAUUACUGGGCGUAAAGCGCGCGUAGGCGGUCUGAUAAGCCGGUUGUGAAAGCCCCGGGCUCAACCUGGGAACGGCAUCCGGAACUGUCAGGCUAGAGUGCAGGAGAGGAAGGUAGAAUUCCCGGUGUAGCGGUGAAAUGCGUAGAGAUCGGGAGGAAUACCAGUGGCGAAGGCGGCCUUCUGGACUGACACUGACGCUGAGGUGCGAAAGCGUGGGUAGCAAACAGGAUUAGAUACCCUAGUGUC
RNAcentral lists this ribosomal RNA (464 nucleotides) under Vreelandella stevensii. RNAcentral's name for it is "partial 16S ribosomal RNA". It matches the Rfam family "Bacterial small subunit ribosomal RNA", at positions 338 to 795 of the family's 1533-position model. Lineage: Bacteria; Pseudomonadati; Pseudomonadota; Gammaproteobacteria; Oceanospirillales; Halomonadaceae. The record is from RNAcentral.